Molecule: unclassified non-coding RNA, 2940 nt
Filed under: Eurytemora carolleeae
Lineage: Eukaryota; Metazoa; Arthropoda; Copepoda; Calanoida; Temoridae
Description: leucine-rich repeat-containing protein 15
Source: RNAcentral
AGUUUGUUGUAGAGUGUAGACCACAAAGUACCUUUUCUGACAUAAGAACCGACCGUGAAAUUCCUGGCUACGGGCCUGGUGUGCCUGGUAAGGUACUAAUAUCCCCAGGGGACCUUAGAACCGGCUUUUAAGCGCCGUCGUGGUUCCAGCCAUCCGUACCGCGCCUACAAGAGGGAUGGAAGGAAGGAAGGACCCCUCCCCCGCCCUCUCUCCGCUCCGCGCGGUUAGUUUUUCUCCGAACCCAGGCCAGAACGGAGCAGAGUUCCAACCUGAACCUUGGUUUCAAGUGAUAAAUCUUAAGAGAAGGUUUACGAAGUGAAUUGACAAUAAAAUAAAAAAAGAGAAAAAAGAAUACCAUGUUUUUCACAGGUGGGGGAUGAAGAAAGUACAACAACAAGCCGGAGAAGAGAAGAAGGAAAGAAGAAGAAAAACCAAGGAGAAGAUGGAACGGGAGAAGGAGAGGAGAAGAAAAGAAACCAAGGAGAAUAUGGCGUGGAAGAAGGAGAAAGGAAGAGAAAUCAAGGAGAAUAUGGAAAAUACAGAACUAAACCAAAAGAAACUAAAAAAGACUGCUAAGUUAAAAGAAUGUGAGGUUCCAAGAUACGCGCUAGGUAUACUCCUCCUGGUAGGUUUAGUAGGACGGACGGAUGGAUCAUGUCCUCGUUCUUGUUCCUGCUCUCAGGACUAUCUCAGGGUAGAGUGUAUUAAUGCAACUUUAGAGAUCGUUCCUCUAACCCUGCACCCGGAGAUUAGCAACCUUCUCCUCAACUACAACAAGAUACCGGAGGUUGGUCCGGCCUCCUUUCAGUUCCACCCGGAGCUGAGGACGGUUAACCUCGAGCACUCUAACCUCGUCAACCUUCAGGACAAAACGUUCGAGGCUCAGAGAAAACUUGUUGAACUCGAUCUCAGCAACAACGAAGUGACGGUGAUUCGAAAAUUUACAUUUUUUGGUUUGAUCAGUCUGGACAGCCUAGACUUAUCCUUUAACUCUAUUCAAGUUAUAGAUGGAGAGGUUUUUAUUCAUAUGCCGAACCUAACCCAACUGAACCUGGGGAACAAUCAAAUCCGGGAGUUGAAUUCCUCUGCCUUCUCAGGACUAGGUUCGCUCGAGGUUCUCCGCCUUGAGAAUAACAGGAUAGAGAGCGUGGCGGAGGAAGUUUGGGAAUCAUUAUCCAAUCUGAGAUAUCUUCAUUUAGCUCACAAUCAGAUACUAGAGCUUAAUCCUAGACCCUUGAAUACUCUUCAUAUCCUAGAUGUUAGUUUUAAUCCUAGGUUUAAUUACUCCAACCUUAUCCUACCCUCCUCUAUUAGAUCACUGAACCUGACUCAAACAGGAUUACAAUUCAUCCCAACUCCGCUCUUCCAAUUCCUCCCUAGUCUAGAGAUACUAAUCCUAAAUCAAAACAAUCUGACAAGUAUCUCUAGGAACGCGUUCAAGGGAUUGAAAAGACUAAAAAGCCUUGAAAUAAUGGAAAAUAAAAUGUUGGAACAAAUUGACGGAUCAGCUUUCCAGGAUACCCGGAGCCUAACCAGUAUUAAUAUAUCUCACAACCAGGAUUUAUAUCAUCUAGAUCCGGAGAUAGUUUCACAUUUAGAAAACCUGGUUGAUCUGAACCUGGAAAGGAACAGAUUCUACAAUUUGAACCUAGAUCUGGGGGAGCAGGUGUCUCUGGUAGGAGACGGAAACCCCUGGAUGUGUGACUGUAACAUUCAGAGCUUACAAAUCCUUGCUACGGGUCGAAAUAUGACCCUGACCUGCUCGGAACCCGAGAACCUUGCGGGACGAAGUAUCUUAGACUUGGAUCUCUCCUACUGUAAGACCCACCUAGAGAUGUCAGCAACCGGACUCAAGUCUAGGAAAAUAACAAUGAUCAUUGUCCUGGUCGUGGUUCUCUCCAUCUGCCUUACAAUCACCGGGUUUAUCCUGUACUCCUGCAGGACCCGGAUACAGAACCUGCUGAAGGGUCUGAGCUGGAGGAAACCUGAAAUCAAGGAGACCCAGUAUAGUCCGGAGUAUCAGAGAUCGUUUAUACAACAUGAUGAAUACUUUAUUUCCCUGGCUAGACAAACAGAUCCAACCAGACAUAUCCCAGUUACAGAGCUUUAAACAUAAUCCAGGAGAAGAUAAACAGUGAGAACCAGAAAACUCUGGAAUAGGAAGACGACAUUAUAGAAGAAUCAAUAUUUGAUGUUGUUACAAAGCAAAUAGGUUACUUGUACCUUAUUUGAUCCAUUAUUAAGUGAAAUUGUCCUGUUUACGCGGCGCAAUUGCAGUGUCUCAUGUUCAUUGGACUAUUUAAAGUCAUAACUUGAGUCUAAAUGUCGUCUUCAUUUUCCAAAGUUUUCUGGUUCUCACUGUAGUCAAAAACAACAAAGAGAUUCUGAAAACCUAAUUUAAACCUAUUCAGUCAUAUUCUAUUAAAUCAUAUCACAUCUUUGUGUUAUAAUUUACACACCAGGGUGUCUUUAAAAAUCAUUUGAGACCCUGCAGUACAAUUAUACUAUUCUCAAUACUCUAGUUACAAACUGAUCUAGUUCUUAGCUUUAAGAUAUAUACACUCCUAAACAUGUUACAUUAUCAUAUCAAAUUCAAAAUUCUGCAGAAAAUAUUUUACGAUUGCAUAUUUUAAACUUUGCAGUACGAAAACUUAAAAAUAUUGUAAAUAAGAUAAUUUUUGAUCUGGUAUGUCGUUAUUCAAGUACUGAAUUCUUCUCACAAACUCAGAUUUUCCCAUUCCUUUAUCUUUCCAACCUGAUGGUUUAAACUCUUGACAUUUCUAACUUGGACAAUUUGAUUUAGAAAUAUUAAAGAUCUACGUUAUCAGGUUUAAAAGAUUUUGUGCCGAGUUGAGUUUCUUUAAAAUGGAAUUGAGUCUUUGCCACAAAGUCUGAUUUUCUAAUUCCUAUAUAUUUUCAACCCUAUGUCGUAGAUCUGAA